GCUAUCCAAGCACUGCAGUGAAUUAGGAUGGAUGGCAAACACACCUUAAUGUAACCACAUAGUAGCUUCUCUGCUCUGAAAACCCAGGGAAUCCCAUGGGAAAGAAACCCACAGCUGGCUUACCUGCAGGACCUGAUCCAGUGGCUAAACACACAAGCACAGGAGCUGAGCCAACUGAAGCAGAAGCUAGACAUUUUUGAGAGCAAUGCGUUACAGAGGUAAGACAUAAUAGUAAAAUACACAGACUUUGACUCUCAGCAUGAAUGAAUGCUGUUUAUUGGUCUUACAGAGACAGUAAAAGAAUGUCAGAUCCUUUCAAUUAUCCCCAAAGUGAGCAAUCAGGGAGCGGUAACAUCUGUAGGGAUUUUGAACCAGCAUCUCCGCAUGAUUCAGAACAACUUGAAAGGCAAGUUGUGUUCCUGCUACUGCUUGUGAAGGCUACCAUUUCAUAACGGCCUGUUUCAGAUCAGAUCUAUGUCCAGGAUGAAGGUAACUCCCAAGAGACCUACAAGAAGGGGGAGCAGAUCCACCACCACCCACCUCCCAGGUGACUGCAUUAACUGCGGGCACAGCUGUGCAGGAAGGGUGCGCAUUUAGGUGCUGAGCCCAAAGGGGAUGAGCCACGCUAAUCAGAAGCUAUGGAGAAGCUGCACCACAAAAGCCAGCCGAGGAGAACAGCUGCAGCACAAGCAGCAAUUACUCGCAUCAAGUCAGGGAGGAAGCCUCCUAAGACAGAAGGCAAGGCAGGCUUUCCAGAAACACCGGGCAGAUGGCAUCGGAGGAGACCACCGAGACCCCUGCUCCGGCAGGGCCGCCCCGAGCAGGGCACCCAGGUGGCUUCCAGGGUCUCGGAGGAGGGGAGCCCAGAGGCCACGGAGGUGGCAGGCAGCUGGGGGCCGAUGGCUCUUAAUUCUUGGGUGCUGAAGGGUAGAGAGACGGAGGUUUCAGUGGGCUCCCAGCAGGCAGCUGGUCCCUUGCCUUGCAAGGCGUUACCUCAGGGUGCUGGGCAGCCUGCACGGCCUGCUGGAGCCUUCACCCCAGGGCUGCGAGGCUGCUGUUAACAUACCGAGCAGCGUCCCUCUUCACACACAAAACUACAGAACUACACCUGCAAAGAUGUAAACUGUGAAAUUAAAAAGUAACCGCCGCUUGGUGUCGUUUGUGUUUUGCAUGCUAACAUAAUAAAUGAGAAGAGAAUUCAG
Molecule: long non-coding RNA, 1202 nt
Filed under: Anser brachyrhynchus (Pink-footed goose)
Lineage: Eukaryota; Metazoa; Chordata; Aves; Anseriformes; Anatidae
Description: lncRNA (ENSABRG00000008442.1)
Source: RNAcentral